AAGACCUUGCGCUUUUGGAGCGGCCGAUGCCUGAUUAGCUAGUUGGUGGGGUAAUGGCCUACCAAAGCUUCGAUCAGUAGCUGGUCUGAGAGGACGGCCAGCCACACUGGGACUGAGACACGGCCCAGACUCCUACGGGAGGCAGCAGUGGGGAAUUUUGGACGAUGGGCGCAAGCCUGAUCCAGCCAUGCCGCGUGAGUGAAGAAGGCCUUCGGGUUGUAAAGCUCUUUCAGCCGGGAAGAAAAGGUUGCGAUUAAUAAUCGCAAUUUAUGACGGUACCGGAAGAAGAAGCACCGGCUAACUACGUGCCAGCAGCCGCGGUAAUACGUAGGGUGCGAGCGUUAAUCGGAAUUACUGGGCGUAAAGCGUGCGCAGGUGGUUUUGUAAGUCAGAUGUGAAAUCCCCGGGCUUAACCUGGGAACU
RNAcentral lists this ribosomal RNA (423 nucleotides) under uncultured bacterium. RNAcentral describes it as "bacterial SSU rRNA". It matches the Rfam family "Bacterial small subunit ribosomal RNA", at positions 207 to 622 of the family's 1533-position model. The record is from RNAcentral.